Long non-coding RNA from Solea senegalensis (Senegalese sole), 372 nucleotides. RefSeq lists it as uncharacterized. The record is from RefSeq and is a predicted model, not a curated record. Lineage: Eukaryota; Metazoa; Chordata; Actinopteri; Pleuronectiformes; Soleidae. The transcript has 4 exons.
GAGCUGCUGGUCUACUGCUGUCUCAUUUGGAGGGGAGGGACGGAGGAUCGGCGAAGCCUGCCGUGCAUGCUUCGUUUCGACGGCAACAGACGCUCAUGUACUGAGAGCAACAUGGAACGCACACCGAGAGUUUUGAGAGAGAAGAGUCUGCUACACGUAGAGGGACGAUGGCACCACGCCGUUGAGGUGCAUCACUCUGGGGUCGCCUUGUGUGCCCUCAACACCCGAUGAGUCAAGAGUUUAAUUGCAGAGGAUUGCAUGUAAACGUCUGUGUCUGCGGGAGGACUACCAUGGUGCAUCUGCCAGAGGAGCAGGGAGAGGCCUACAUCAGUGGAGGAAAUGCUGUAGUCAACAGCCAGCGAUGUGCAUUUC